CACUACGAGUUUGAUCAGUGGCUACAGGACGAACGCUGGCGGCGCGCCUAACACAUGGCAAGGUCAACGGGGUGCGUUCGAAUGAAGUUUUCGGAUGGAAUUUGGAUGUACCUAGUGGCGAACGGGUGAGUAACACGUGAAUAACCUGCCUUGUACUGGGGGACAACAGUUGGAAACGACUGCUAAUACCGCAUAAGCGCACAGCUUCGCAUGAAGCAGUGUGAAAAACUCCGGUGGUACGAGAUGGACCCGCGUCUGAUUAGCUGGUUGGUGAGGUAACGGCCCACCAAGGCAACGAUCAGUAGCCGGCCUGAGAGGGUGAACGGCCACAUUGGGACUGAGACACGGCCCAAACUCCUACGGGAGGCAGCAGUGGGGAAUAUUGCACAAUGGGGGAAACCCUGAUGCAGCAACGCCGCGUGAGUGAAGAAGUAUUUCGGUAUGUAAAGCUCUAUCAGCAGGAAAGAAAAUGACGGUACCUGACUAAGAAGCCCCGGCUAACUACGUG
RNAcentral lists this ribosomal RNA (508 nucleotides) under uncultured bacterium. RNAcentral's name for it is "bacterial SSU rRNA". It matches the Rfam family "Bacterial small subunit ribosomal RNA", at positions 1 to 507 of the family's 1533-position model. The record is from RNAcentral.